Molecule: ribosomal RNA, 254 nt
Filed under: uncultured bacterium
Lineage: Bacteria
Description: partial 16S ribosomal RNA
Rfam family: Bacterial small subunit ribosomal RNA
Source: RNAcentral
UACGGGGGGGGCAAGCGUUGUUCGGAAUUACUGGGCGUAAAGGGCGCGUAGGCGGCCAGCACAAGUCAGUUGUGAAAUCUCCGAGCUUAACUCGGAAAGGUCAACUGAUACUGUGCGGCUAGAGUGCGGAAGGGGCAACUGGAAUUCUUGGUGUAGCGGUGAAAUGCGUAGAUAUCAGGAGGAACACCGGUGGCGAAGGCGGUGAUCUGGGCCGGCACUGACGCUGAGGAGCGAAAGCGUGGGGAGCAAACAGG